GACGAACGCUGGCGGCGUGCCUAAUACAUGCAAGUAGGACGCAGUUGCGAACGGGUGAGUAACGCGAAGGUAACUGCAUAUUAGUGGGGGAUAACUAUUGGAAACGAUAGCUAAUACCGCAUACUAGUAGAUGGACCUGCGGUGUAUUAGCUAGUAGGUAGGGUAAUGGCCUACCUAGGCGACGGUACAUAGCCGACCUGAGAGGGAGAUCGGCCAAACUGGGACUGAGGCACUGCCCAGACUCCGACGGGAGGCAGCAGUAGGGAAUCUUCGGCAAUGGGGGGAACCCUGACCGAGCAACGCCGCGGGAGUGAAGAAGGUUUUCGGAUCGUAAAGCUCUGUUGUUAAGGAAGCGGUACUUAACCAGAAAGGGACGGCUAACUACGUGCCAGCAGCCGCGGUAAUUC
This 407-nucleotide ribosomal RNA is filed under the name uncultured bacterium. Its description in RNAcentral is "partial 16S ribosomal RNA". It matches the Rfam family "Bacterial small subunit ribosomal RNA", at positions 28 to 526 of the family's 1533-position model. The record is from RNAcentral.